This is a long non-coding RNA of Oncorhynchus tshawytscha (Chinook salmon), 371 nucleotides long. NCBI's taxonomy places the organism in Eukaryota, Metazoa, Chordata, Actinopteri, Salmoniformes, Salmonidae. The record is from Ensembl.
UAGUGGUAGUGACUGGUUAUAGUUAUAGUAGUGGUAGUGUCUACAGUAGUAAUGGUAGUGACUGGUUAUAGUAGUGGUAGUGACUGGUUAUAGUUAUAGUGGUGGUAGUGUCUGCAGUAGUAAUGGUAGUGACUGGUUAUAGUUAUAGUAGUGGUAGUGACUGGUUAUAGUUAUAGUAGUGGUAGUGUCUACAGUAGUAAUGGUGGGGACUGGUUAUAGUUAUAGUAGUGGUAGUGACUGGUUAUAGUAGUGGUAGUGACUGGUUAUAGUAGUGGUAGUGACUGGUUAUAGUUAUAGUAGUGGUAGUGACUGGUUAUAGUAGUGGUAGUGACUGGUUAUAGUUAUAGUAGUGGUGGUGACUGGAUGUAGUU